UACGUAGGUGGCAAGCGUUUGUCCGGAAUUAUUGGGCGUAAAGAGCUUGUAGGCGGUUUGUCGCGUCUGCUGUGAAAUCUCAAGGCUCAACCUUGAGCUUGCAGUGGGUACGGGCAGACUAGAGUGUGGUAGGGGAGACUGGAAUUCCUGGUGUAGCGGUGAAAUGCGCAGAUAUCAGGAGGAACACCGAUGGCGAAGGCAGGUCUCUGGGCCAUUACUGACACUGAGAAGCGAAAGCAUGGGGGAGCGAACAGG
This 255-nucleotide ribosomal RNA is filed under the name uncultured bacterium. RNAcentral describes it as "partial 16S ribosomal RNA". It matches the Rfam family "Bacterial small subunit ribosomal RNA", at positions 524 to 776 of the family's 1533-position model. The record is from RNAcentral.